GACGAACGCUGGCGGCGUGCUUAACACAUGCAAGUCGAACGGAAAGGCCCUGCUUUUGUGGGGUGCUCGAGUGGCGCACGGGUGAGUAACACGUGAGUAACCUGCCCUUGACUUUGGGAUAACUUCAGGAAACUGGGGCUAAUACAGGAUAGGAGCUCCUGCUGCAUGGUGGGGGUUGGAAAGUUUCGGCGGUCGGGGAUGGACUCGCGGCUUAUCAGCUUGUUGGUGGGGUAGUGACUUACCAAGGUUUUGACGGGUAGCCGGCCUGAGAGGGUGACCGGCCACAUUGGGACUAAGGUACGGCCCAGACGCCUACGGGAGGCAGCAGUGGGGAAUAUGGCACAGUGGGCGGAAGCCUGAUGCAGCAACGCCGCGUGCGGGAUGACGGCCUUCGGGUUGUAAACCGCUUUCGCCUGUGACGAAGCGUGAGUGACGGUAAUGGGUAAAGAAGCACCGGCUAACUACGUG
RNAcentral lists this ribosomal RNA (468 nucleotides) under uncultured bacterium. RNAcentral's name for it is "partial 16S ribosomal RNA". It matches the Rfam family "Bacterial small subunit ribosomal RNA", at positions 28 to 507 of the family's 1533-position model. The record is from RNAcentral.